Long non-coding RNA from Oncorhynchus tshawytscha (Chinook salmon), 1120 nucleotides. Lineage: Eukaryota; Metazoa; Chordata; Actinopteri; Salmoniformes; Salmonidae. The record is from Ensembl.
GCGCCGGGAAUGAGCCUGCCCUUCCUAUCGUUUCUCCAAGGUGUCUGCAGCAUUGUGACAUAUUUGUAGGCAUAUGAUUGGAAGAUUGGCCAUAAGAGACUACAUUUACCAGGUGUCCGCCUGGUGUCCUUUGUGUAAAUCAGCGCGUAAUCUUCAGUUGUGGGCAUUUUCUCCUGGGAUUCAGAGGGAAAGCACACUUCGACGAACGAUGUAUCAUCGAAGAGAUAUGUGAAAAACACCUUGAGGAUUGGUUCUAAACAACGUUUGCCAUGUUUCAGUCGAUAUUAUGGAGUUAAUUUGGAAAAAAGUUUGACGUUUAGAUGACUGAAUUUUCGUUUUUUUUUGGUAGCCAAACGUGACGCACCAAACGGAGCGAUUUCUCCUAAACAAAUAUUCUUUUUGGAAAAACUGAACAUUUGCUAUCUAACAGAGUCUCCUCAUUGAAAACAUCUGAAGUUCUUCAAAGGUUGGUGGCUCCUGGUCCCCAGGCUGAUGCCUUCCCUCGCAACACCCCGAUGCCUUCCCUUGCAACACCCCAUCGCCUCCCCUGGGACCCCUUGCCUAUGCCGUCAGGUCCCUACUGGAAUCCUGUUGUCGUUCUGUACGAUACUCCUGUUCUGUUCAUCUGCCUUGUCUUAUUAUAUUUUUUACUUUUCCCCCUUUUUCUCCCCAAUUUCGUGGUAUCCAAUUGGUAGUUACAGUCUUGUCUCAUCGCUGCAACUCCUGUAUGGACUCGAGAGAAGCGAAGGUCGAGAGCCAUGCGUCCUCCGAAACACGACCCAACCAAGCUGUACUGCUUCUUGACACAAUGCCUGCUUAACCCGGAAGCCAGCCACACCAAUGUGUUGGAGGAAACACCGUACACCUGGCGACCGUGUCAGCGUGCAUGCGCCCGGCCCACCACAGGAGUUGCUAGAGCAUGAUGGGACAAGAAGAUCUCUGCUGGCCAAACCCUCCCCUAACCUGGACGAUGCUGGGCCAAUUGUGCACCAGCCCAUGGGUCUCCCGGUUGCAGCCGGCUGUGACAGAGCCUGGAGUCGAACCAGGAUCUCUAGUGGCACAGCUAGCAACUCUGAUGCAGUGCCGUAGGCCACUGAACCACUAGGGAGGCGCCUUGUCU